ACCUCACGACGAAGAAACUGUUACCAUUUAAAAGGAAAAGUAACUUCGCUACAUAACAUCUACUAUUAACGCAGUCUAGGAAGGUUUUAUCCUGAAAUGCGUGCGGAGGAGGCUAGAGGGUGAAGGGUUUUUUCUCGGAAAUUACAGUCUUCCUCAACUCCCGCCUCCUCUCCACCCGGCGCUUCCCGUCACUUUGGAGGGACUCGAAGCCGUCCCAGGCCAUUUCUAUGGGUGACGACUUGUGGACUACCGUGAAGAAAUCAUUUAUGAUGGCGAGAACCCUGCUGGCCAUCUUAUAUGCCCCUAAGGACGGCAUAGAAGGAGCUGACUGCUGAAUAUGGCCCUGAGACUAUACUCUGGCCUGAAAAUGAACUUCAGGAAGCUACUUUAGAGAGAAGAGGGAUGCAGCUUCUCCUUUAACUUCCCUUAUUCCUGUGAUGACUGGAGCGCUCACAACAUUUUUAGGUCAUGAGAUAAUGCACCGUAAUGGAGGGCAGAGCAUCAAGAAAGAAGGAACCUCAGUUCCUGAUACAAUGAAGCACUAUAGCAACCCUGAAAUUUUUAGAUGGCUUGAAGACAAAUUGGAGAUGGCAGAAAAAAGACUCAGUGGCCUUGAAGGAAGCCAUGUGGAAUUGCCACAGAAGCCAAGGCUAGGGGUCAAAUUGGAGCUGUAGCCACUGGCCUACACCACAGCUUACAGCAACUCCAGACCCUUAACCUGCUGAGCAAAGCCAGGGAUCAAACCUGCAUCCUCAUGGAUACUAGUCAGAUUCAUUUCCGCUGAGCCAUGCUGGGAACUCCAAGGAUUUCUUUCAAAGGAUUUUGAGGAUUUCCUAGACGUCAAAAGCCUUAAAAUCAGUACCCUAACCUGAUACAGUGUUUAUACAUGAACAUAUGGUGGUUCAACUUUUUGGAGGGACUGCAUGUCAAUUUAGUUACAGUCUAAACAUUCAUACUGUUUGACUCAGCAAUUUUACCUCUAGCAAUUAAUGGUAUACAAAUAAUCAUCUAAUCAAACUGACAAGAUUUUGCACAGCAAAGGAAACCAAAAUGAAAACAAAAAGACAACUUACAGAAUGGGAGAAAAUAGUUUCAAAUGAUGCAUAUGACAAGGGCUUAAUCUCUAAAAUACACAAACAACUUAUACAACCCAACAGCAAAAAAGCCAACAACCCAAUUGAAAAAUGGGCAAAAGACCUGAAUAGACAUUUUUCCGAGAAAGAUAUAUAGAUGGCCAACAAGCACAUGAAAAAAUGCUCAACAUCCCUGAUUAUUAGAGAAAUGCAAAUCAGAGCUACCAUGAGAUACCACCUCGCACCAGUCAGAAUGGCCAUCAUUAAUCCACAAAUAACAAAUGCUGGAGGGGGUGUGGAGAAAAGGGAACCCUUCUGUACAGUUGGUGGGAAUGUAACCUGGUACAACCACUAUGGAGAACAGUAUGGAGGUACCUUAGAAAACUAUACAUAGAACUAUUGUAUGACCCAGCAACCCCACUCUUAGGCAUAUAUCCAGACUUUCCUUGAAAAAGACACAUGCACCCAUUUAUGUUCACUGCAGCACUAUUCACAAUAACCAAGACAUAGAAACAACUCAAAUGUCCAUGACACAUGAUAGGAUUAGGAAGAUGUGGUAUAUAUACGCAGUGGAAUACUACUCAGCCAUAAAGAAGAACAGAAUAAUGCCAUUUGCAGCAACAUAGAUGAAACUAGAGACUCUCAUCCUGAGUGAAGUAAGUCAGAAAGAGAAAGACAAUACCAUAUGAUAUCACUUAUAUCUGGAAUCUAAUAUAUGGCACAAAUGAACCUUUCCACAGAAAAGAAAAUCAUGGACUUGGAGAAUAGACUUGUGGCUGCCAAGGGGGAGGGGGAGAGAGUGGGAUGGAUUGGGAGUUUGGGGUUAAUAGAUGCAGACUAUUGCUUUUGCAAUGGAUAAGCAAUGAGAUCCUGCUGUGUAGCACUGGAAACCAUGUCUAGUCACUUAUGAUGGAGCAUGAUAAUGUGAGAAAAAAGAAUGUAUAUAUGUAUGUAUAACUGGGUCACCAUGCUGUACAGUAGAAAAUUGACAGAACACUGUAAACCAGCUAUAAUGGAAAAAAAGAAAAAUCAUUAUAAAAAAAUAAUCAUUCAAGGGGAAAAAGAUAUGUGAACAGGAUAUUUAUUGUAGCAUUGUUCAUAACAGUAAAAGAUUGAAAACAAUGCAAGUAUUUAUACAUAUGGAAUAGGUUAGCAUAAUGAUAUUCAUGUAUUGGGAUAUUACAGUGUUUUAAAAGAAAGCGAUGGAAAGAUGUCCAAGAUAUAAUAAGUGAAAAAGCAACUUAUAAAACAGUAUGGUUCAAUUUGUAACUCAAGUAAUGUCAAUAAAUAAAAGAAAACCAUUGCCUUGACAUAU
RNAcentral lists this long non-coding RNA (2388 nucleotides) under Sus scrofa (pig). RNAcentral's name for it is "lncRNA (ENSSSCG00040024720.1)". The record is from RNAcentral. Lineage: Eukaryota; Metazoa; Chordata; Mammalia; Artiodactyla; Suidae.